UGGGGAAUAUUGGACAAUGGGCGCAAGCCUGAUCCAGCCAUGCCGCGUGUGUGAUGAAGGCCUUAGGGUUGUAAAGCACUUUCGCCGAUGAAGCGGUAGUCGGAGAAGAAGCCCCGGCUAACUUCGUGCCAGCAGCCGCGGUAAUACGAAGGGGGCAAGCGUUGUUCGGAUUUACUGGGCGUAAAGCGUACGUAGGCGGAUAAUUAAGUCAGGGGUGAAAUCCCGGGGCUCAACCUCGGAACUGCCUUUGAUACUGGUUGUCUUGAGUCCGGGAGAGGUGAGUGGAACUCCUAGUGUAGAGGUGAAAUUCGUAGAUAUUAGGAAGAACACCAGUGGCGAAGGCGGCUCACUGGCCCGGAACUGACGCUGAUGUACGAAAGCGUGGGGAGCAAACAGGAUUAGAUACCCCAGUAGU
Molecule: ribosomal RNA, 415 nt
Filed under: uncultured bacterium
Lineage: Bacteria
Description: bacterial SSU rRNA
Rfam family: Bacterial small subunit ribosomal RNA
Source: RNAcentral